RNAcentral lists this small nuclear RNA (189 nucleotides) under Oncorhynchus tshawytscha (Chinook salmon). RNAcentral's name for it is "U2 spliceosomal RNA". It matches the Rfam family "U2 spliceosomal RNA". From Rfam's summary of the family: U2 is a small nuclear RNA (snRNA) component of the spliceosome (involved in pre-mRNA splicing). Complementary binding between U2 snRNA (in an area lying towards the 5' end but 3' to hairpin I) and the branchpoint sequence (BPS) of the intron results the bulging out of an unpaired adenosine, on the BPS, which initiates a nucleophilic attack at the intronic 5' splice site, thus starting the first of two transesterification reactions that mediate splicing. Lineage: Eukaryota; Metazoa; Chordata; Actinopteri; Salmoniformes; Salmonidae. The record is from Rfam by way of RNAcentral.
AUCGCUUCUCGGCCUUUUGGCUCAGAUCAAGUGUAGUAUCGUUCUUCAGUUUAAUAUCUGAUUCCGCCCAUCGGGGGACUACAUAUUAAAUGGAUUUUUCGAACAGGGAGUCGGAAAUGGGGCUUGCUCCGUCCGCUCCACGCAUCGACCCGGUAUUGCAGUACCUCCACCUGGUAACGUGCAACACUU